UGCUGUGGAACUUCCUUCAGUCUGUGGACCUGCCUUUGCCAUUGCUGAAUCUGGAGGUGAUUUCAUCACAGGCAAGUCCCAGCUGCCCUAAUUUUGUGAUCUGUCCCUGUGCCCUGCAUUCCAAAGGAGACUGUAUGUUUCCUAAGUCCCUGGUCUUUGGGGAUUUGGAAGAAAGUAUCUGAAAAGUAUUUGAAUCAACUUGAGGGAGCUGAGUGAUAACCACCUGCACUUGUGAGGUUUUGAGGGUCUUAGUGCAGGCACCUCCCAGAUCUGUAGGCAGUAGUGCUGGGGAACAAAGUAGGCAUGUCUUCCUGGACUUCUAUGUGGAAGCUCUGCUAAAGCCUCUUAAUUCUUGUUCUGGGAAAAGAUAAGGGCUUACAAGCACCUCCCUCCUUGUUUAAAAACCCCAACAGCUGUCAGGAUUGUGCUCCAUAAGUCCUAGGGGACCAUGCAAACUGCAUCAUCCUGUUUCUAUUCACAGAGGUGUCAUUUCCACACUGGGAGGAUGAGGAUCAGAUGCAUGGAUCAGAAUCACUCAAAUAGAGGGAUUUUGAGCAAUAUUUUGGGUUGUGAUUGGGUUCAGGGUUUUAUAUCUGUUUUCCCAGACAGUGUGGCCAUGCCUGAAUUUCAUUAUGAAAAUGCUCCCCCACAGCCUGAUGCCUCUAAGUUUCACUACACCUGGUCAGGCAUCCAGACAACCAGCUUGAAGUGCAGGUCACUGUCCCAUAGAUUUGGUUCCCAUCAGUCAUUUACCGAGAUGCAAGCAACAAGAAUGAAGUUGUUUGGAUGCUACCAGCAAAUCACCUUGAGAGUCUUCUCAACUGUGUUUUCAUCUUACUAGGUGAAAACUAAUAAGUAAUUUAAAAAUUAGGAUCUCAAAUCUAAAAAAAAAAAAAAAAAAUUCUCAGGGCUCCAGGAAAAUAAUUGCCUAGCCAAAGAAGAGGCUCUCAUUUCAAUAGGAACCAUAGUUAUAAGAACUUCAUCCCUACAAGGAAAAAUACUUUGGGAAUUUAUUUUGGGGAAGGCAGUCACUUUCAGUCUGAAAGGCAAUAUUGGCAGGGCUAUCUAUAGAGGCAGACACUUAAGGACAGCUGUUUGGAGAUCAAUGUCAGCUUUCUAGUCUUCUUUGCCCUUGUGGAUGCAAAAGAGGAUCAGGGCUCUGGCAGAUUGCAGCAUCCACUCACAUCAGGUAGUAGGAAUGCUUUGGAUUCCUGGUCCCAGCAAGCCAGCCCUCACUUGCUCACAGCAAAACAUCCAUGUUCCUAAAUCCAGGUAAUGCCCCAGAGGAAAAAGGUAAAAGUCACUACCCAGUGAAGGCCAACUCACAUGCUAGUGAUAUUCUCCUCUUUCAGUUUGUCCCAGAGGGUGGUGGGGGAGCGUUUAUGCCUGCUUCCUACCCACCUUCCUUAUUCCAUUUUCCUUUCCUUCCCUCCUUCUUACCAUCCUGCCUUCCUGCCAGACUUCCUCUCUUCCUCUUUUCCUCCCUCUCUCCUUUUUACAAACCAACACUGUGCCAGGCACUUCCAUAGAUGCUAAAGAUACUAUAAUAAGAUGAGAUCUCUGCAUUUGGGGAGCUAGAGACCAUUACCAUCCCAUGUGUUCAGUAAUUGACAAGGUUGCUCUGAAGACCUCCUUUAGAAGGUGGUACCAAGUCAAGAUACAUAGGUACAUCUGUUCAUGAAGAAAUCAGAAUUUCCCCAGCUUCAAUUUGCCUGUCAAAGAUGACACCAAUUAAGUACUAAUAGAUUACCUUACCAUAUCAAAGUAUACUGAGUUGGCUAGUUAUUCAUUAACAUUUCUAAUCAGCACAAGAGCUGAACUAGUGUAGACUCACAGUAUAGAUGUUUAUUAAUAUGUAUCUCUGCUUCUGAAAUGGUAUUUCACUCAUUUUGUGUCCCAGGAAAACCCCUACUUGUUGGUGGUGAGAAAUAGGAACACAUGUUUAUGGAAACUGUAGAUGUUACCUAAAUAUUCUGUUUAGUGCCCUGGACACUUUCUAUUACUUAGGGGCCCUUCAAAGUGUCUCUUGGGAGACAUAAAUGUGAAGUACUUCAAGGGAAACAUCAAAUAUCCUCGGACUGUUCAGAUAGAAAUGAUCUCACACUAUGGAGUGGGUGCCACAUGUCAGCCCUGAGCCAGGAGCACUGAGCCUAGUCUCAGUCACAACAAACCCAUCAGAGGCGCUCUCAUCGGCCUCAUUUUAUGGUAACAGAAACCAAGUCACUGGGACUGAAUGUAACUGCCCAUGGUCAUACAACCACAAGCAGAGGGGCCACACCAGGGGCUCAAGCCUCUUUCACUUCUAGGUAGAUGCUCCUAACCCCUAGCCUGUGCUUCUUUAAGUGUGGUCCCUAAAUCAGCCACCCGCACCUCACCGGGAAGCUGGGUAAGACCCCCAGAAUCUCAACCUGCAUCUUCCAAGGUCAGCUAGGUGAUUUUUCCAUCCAUAUAACGAACUUAGAUAAGUGCUUCUGGCCACUCAGCAUGGAUAGAAAACUUCAGGGAGGUGCAUGGAAUGUCUUCAUGGCUGUACAGUAUUGUCACUUACAUGGGAAGGAAGGCUUACCUCCCUGGGUGGAAGAGUUGCAGGGAGAUCAGUUUAUACUAUGCAUGAGGAAGCCAGUUAUAAUGACCAGGGUAGCACCUGACAUGAGGAGUUAGGGGUGCUGAGCUUCCCAUGGUUAGAGAUGCUCCAUGGAAGCUGAUGAUCCUUUUGCUAAGACACACAUAGUUACAGAUAUCAUAAGUGACAAAACCGUGGCUUUGACCCAGGUCAUGACCCAGGUUAUAUGUUGGGCUUCCAGUAAGCCAAUGGCAAGGAUCCAAAAAUCUAAGUGGGAGCUGACCAUAAUGUAUAUAAUUGAAGAAUCAUUUGCAUUUAGAAGAGGAACUCUAACCAGGGAGAACAGGCAUCAUGGUGGCACAUACCUGGACUCCCAGCUACU
Molecule: long non-coding RNA, 2945 nt
Filed under: Marmota monax (woodchuck)
Lineage: Eukaryota; Metazoa; Chordata; Mammalia; Rodentia; Sciuridae
Source: RNAcentral